This is a long non-coding RNA of Labrus mixtus (cuckoo wrasse), 197 nucleotides long. RefSeq lists it as uncharacterized. The transcript has 2 exons. The record is from RefSeq and is a predicted model, not a curated record. Lineage: Eukaryota; Metazoa; Chordata; Actinopteri; Labriformes; Labridae.
GAGUACUUCGGGCUGUCCAAUAAUCAAACAGCCCUGUGUGUGAAGUCUCUGAUGUGGCCUUCACUAUGCCAAACAACACAAUUUCUGCAAGUGUCCCUUUCUGCAGACUUUCCCGCGGGACUUUCAACAUCGAACGUGAUCAGUAUUCAAAAAUAAAUGUAAACCAAUCAGGGAUGGACGUGAAAAAAAAAGGGAAU